Molecule: long non-coding RNA, 495 nt
Filed under: Gossypium barbadense (sea-island cotton)
Lineage: Eukaryota; Viridiplantae; Streptophyta; Magnoliopsida; Malvales; Malvaceae
Description: long non-coding RNA (GBAR_LNC015798)
Source: RNAcentral
GAUAACUAACAACAGAAAUUCUAUUAAUUACGAUAAAAAAUAAGAUUUAAAAAAAAAUCCUGAAAGCUUGCGUUCGUCGUCUUCGUCCACUAUGAUUCACAUUAUUCAAUGAAAAUUAUUUAUUUGAAAUUAGAAAAAACAAAAAUUUCAAAGGGAAGCAAACCGUCAAACAUCGGUGCCAAUGCCGGUUCUCCACAUCUCACCUCUCUACUUUCUGCCAUCUUCGUGCGGUUAACGAUAGCCAUUCUUUAACUCCUUGUGGAUCGCCUGCCUUGAAUUGUUAGUAACCGCAGGUGGAUUGCCCAACUGAAUCGUCGGUUUGAGUUCCAUUGCAGUCUUCGCAGCCUUGUUUUUCUCCAACGUAAUCGGGAGGUAUCGCAUUGCUUAAUGAUCCGAAAAUUGAUAUUGUAUUCAGUAUGGAGAGAGAUGCAAAAAAAAAAAGUUUGGUGGAAUUGAAGGAGUAUUAUAAGGAAAUUGAAUUGAUUUAUGCUUUAG